AUUGAACGCUGGCGGAAUGCUUUACACAUGCAAGUCGGACGGCAGCACGGGAGCUUGCUCCUGGUGGCGAGUGGCGAACGGGUGAGUAAUGCGUCGGAACGUACCGAGUAAUGGGGGAUAACGCAGCGAAAGCUGUGCUAAUACCGCAUACGCCCUGAGGGGGAAAGUGGGGGAUCGUAAGACCUCACGUUAUUCGAGCGGCCGACGUCUGAUUAGCUAGUUGGUGGGGUAAUGGCCUACCAAGGCGACGAUCAGUAGCUGGUCUGAGAGGAUGACCAGCCACACUGGGACUGAGACACGGCCCAGACUCCUACGGGUGGCAG
This 323-nucleotide ribosomal RNA is filed under the name uncultured Pseudomonadota bacterium. RNAcentral describes it as "bacterial SSU rRNA". It matches the Rfam family "Bacterial small subunit ribosomal RNA", at positions 30 to 351 of the family's 1533-position model. The record is from RNAcentral. Lineage: Bacteria; Pseudomonadati; Pseudomonadota.